CCUACGGGUGGCAGCAGUGGGGAAUAUUGGGCAAUGGGCGCAAGCCUGACCCAGCAACGCCGCGUGAAGGAAGAAGGCUUUCGGGUUGUAAACUUCUUUUCUCAGGGACGAAGCAAGUGACGGUACCUGAGGAAUAAGCCACGGCUAACUACGUGCCAGCAGCCGCGGUAAUACGUAGGUGGCAAGCGUUAUCCGGAUUUACUGGGUGUAAAGGGCGUGUAGGCGGGGACGCAAGUCAGAUGUGAAAACCACGGGCUCAACCUGUGGCCUGCAUUUGAAACUGUGUUUCUUGAGAACUGGAGAGGCAGACGGAAUUCCUAGUGUAGCGGUGAAAUGCGUAGAUAUUAGGAGGAACACCAGUGGCGAAGGCGGUCUGCUGGACAGCAACUGACGCUGAGGCGCGAAAGCGUGGGGAGCAAACAGGAUUAGAUACCCGGGUAGUC
RNAcentral lists this ribosomal RNA (443 nucleotides) under uncultured bacterium. RNAcentral's name for it is "partial 16S ribosomal RNA". It matches the Rfam family "Bacterial small subunit ribosomal RNA", at positions 338 to 795 of the family's 1533-position model. The record is from RNAcentral.